Long non-coding RNA from Lolium rigidum, 1383 nucleotides. RefSeq lists it as uncharacterized. NCBI's taxonomy places the organism in Eukaryota, Viridiplantae, Streptophyta, Magnoliopsida, Poales, Poaceae. The record is from RefSeq and is a predicted model, not a curated record. The transcript is spliced from 3 exons.
UUAAAUCAGCGGAUCUGUUCAUAACAGGUCCAUCUGACCAUUGAGGAGCAGGUCUGUGUUUGCUAAUAUGUGUUUCACUUGUAUUAUUUGAUUUGGUGAUCUUCAAUGAUCAGUCUGGUAUGUUUUUGUAUGAGCAUCCCAUUGCCCGUUCUCUUCAUUUUUCUUGCAUGGCUCUUGGCCUGGGAGUUGCUGAUCUGAGCUUCUUGUGUACAGUGUGAGGAGCCAACAAUUGUGGUGGGGGUCCCCAAGAAUCCUGAUCCCUGUGCAGCAACUCCAGCCUGCGUCUGUAUCACAUGCCAAGCCUCUGCGACCCGCUCUGGAGCAUCAAGCGGUCAGAGGUCAGAACUCGGAGCGACUGGGUCGGUGAAAAGCUCUUGGUUGACCCAAGGAUGUGAUGUGGGUAGAGAGAGACUGGGACACUACAGACCGGAGGAACAGCACAAAAGGUGGAGCAUGGAGAGAAGCUAGCUAGGUAGCGUCAAAUCCUUUGAUUCAGAGCCUUUUCGCCUCCAGCGAGACAAGGGCAUCUCUGCUCAUAUCGAGCCACUCAGCCAGGCCAAGGCUUGAAACGCUUUCUUCAUCUCACGUCAGGUGAAGAAGUAAUGUGUGGAAUUCUACCGCUCUACAUUCCAUUGGAUCGUUUCAUCUGUUCUCAUGGCUUUCUCUAAUCUGGCAGAACAUGGGUGACAACACUGUUCUUGACUCUGAAACUCCCUGGAACAGAAAAGGGUAAGAUUGACGGCUGACGAUCGGUACGUGUGUGCUCCCUCAGCAUCAGGCAACACUCGACGGCUGGCUUGUGUGAUCGCGCGUGUUGCCGCGUAGACGCAAGUCUCCGGCUGACAUGAGCAGCAGCCAGCGAUCGGUUCAAAGUCCUCGUAGGAGGACCAUCUCUUCUGCAUCAGCCGGAGAAUUGUUUAUGGAAUAACAGAACGAGAAGGCUGGCUAUGGCUAGCAUCUCGAGAUCGCCGGUGCCAAGAUGUGCCAUACGCACGCACUGACUGACUGAAUUCUUCAGAGAAUUGACCCCGUUCUGGACUUCUGAUCGACCCUGAUCGCUCCGUGCCAAGCUCUAAUAAUUGGGCCCAGGUCCAAAGAACGAAUGUAAUGACCGUUCCUCCAUGUCAGUAAAGCCUCCUGUUUUGAGAUGUUAAAAAAAAUGGAAAUCGAAUUUGGACCAUGGCAUGGCCAGCGAUGGGGGAGCUAGCGAUAUGAAUGAUACUGAGGUUGCGUCCACGUAUCAUGGGGGUGCGUCCAUUCUACCAGCAGACUGAUGGUUUCGGGAGGCGUACGUGCCUCGAGAGCGGCAAAUAACAGGAGCAUUUCUUCUCAUCCUGCCAGAAUCUCUGAGGCGCGGUUCUCAAAUUUGGACCAUGGCAUUGG